RNAcentral lists this ribosomal RNA (478 nucleotides) under uncultured bacterium. RNAcentral's name for it is "bacterial SSU rRNA". It matches the Rfam family "Bacterial small subunit ribosomal RNA", at positions 9 to 504 of the family's 1533-position model. The record is from RNAcentral.
GAGUUUGAUCCUGGCUCAGGACGAACGCUGGCGGCGUGCUUAACACAUGCAAGUCGAGCGAUGAAGCUCCUUCGGGAGUGGAUUAGCGGCGGACGGGUGAGUAACACGUGGGUAACCUGCCUCAUAGAGGGGAAUAGCCUUUCGAAAGGAAGAUUAAUACCGCAUAAGAUUGUAGUGCCGCAUGGUACAGCAAUUAAAGGAGUAAUCCGCUAUGAGAUGGACCCGCGUCGCAUUAGCUAGUUGGUGAGGUAACUGCUCACCAAGGCGACGAUGCGUAGCCGACCUGAGAGGGUGAUCGGCCACAUUGGGACUGAGACACGGCCCAGACUCCUACGGGAGGCAGCAGUGGGGAAUAUUGCACAAUGGGGGAAACCCUGAUGCAGCAACGCCGCGUGAGUGAUGACGGUCUUCGGAUUGUAAAGCUCUGUCUUUAGGGACGAUAAUGACGGUACCUAAGGAGGAAGCCACGGCUAACUAC